UACGUAGGGUGCAAGCGUUGUCCGGAAUUAUUGGGCGUAAAGAGCUCGUAGGCGGUUUGUCGCGUCUGCUGUGAAAACUCGGGGCUUAACCCCGGGCCUGCAGUGGGUACGGGCAGACUAGAGUGCGGUAGGGGAGACUGGAAUUCCUGGUGUAGCGGUGAAAUGCGCAGAUAUCAGGAGGAACACCGGAGGCGAAGGCGGGUCUCUGGGCCGAUACUGACGCUGAGGAGCGAAAGCGUGGGGAGCGAACAGG
This 253-nucleotide ribosomal RNA is filed under the name uncultured bacterium. RNAcentral's name for it is "partial 16S ribosomal RNA". It matches the Rfam family "Bacterial small subunit ribosomal RNA", at positions 524 to 776 of the family's 1533-position model. The record is from RNAcentral.